This 492-nucleotide ribosomal RNA is filed under the name uncultured bacterium. RNAcentral describes it as "partial 16S ribosomal RNA". It matches the Rfam family "Bacterial small subunit ribosomal RNA", at positions 29 to 507 of the family's 1533-position model. The record is from RNAcentral.
AGUGAACGCUGGCGGUAGGCCUAACACAUGCAAGUCGAACGGCAGCACAGUAAGAGCUUGCUCUUACGGGUGGCGAGUGGCGGACGGGUGAGGAAUACAUCGGAAUCUACUUUUUCGUGGGGGAUAACGUAGGGAAACUUACGCUAAUACCGCAUACGACCUACGGGUGAAAGCAGGGGAUCUUCGGACCUUGCGCGAUUGAAUGAGCCGAUGUCGGAUUAGCUAGUUGGCGGGGUAAAGGCCCACCAAGGCGACGAUCCGUAGCUGGUCUGAGAGGAUGAUCAGCCACACUGGAACUGAGACACGGUCCAGACUCCUACGGGAGGCCGCAGUGGGGAAUAUUGGACAAUGGGCGCAAGCCUGAUCCAGCCAUACCGCGUGGGUGAAGAAGGCCUUCGGGUUGUACAGCCCUUUUGUUGGGAAAGAAAAGCAGCAGGUUAAUACCCCGCUGUUCUGACGGUACCCAAAGAAUAAGCACCGGCUAACUUCGUG